RNAcentral lists this ribosomal RNA (253 nucleotides) under uncultured bacterium. RNAcentral describes it as "partial 16S ribosomal RNA". It matches the Rfam family "Bacterial small subunit ribosomal RNA", at positions 524 to 776 of the family's 1533-position model. The record is from RNAcentral.
UACGAAGGGGGCUAGCGUUGUUCGGAAUUACUGGGCGUAAAGGGCGCGCAGGCGGCCCUCCAAGUCAGGCGUGAAAGCCCCGGGCUCAACCCGGGAACAGCGCUUGAGACUGGGGGGCUUGAGUUCGGGAGAGGAGAGUGGAAUUCCCAGUGUAGAGGUGAAAUUCGUAGAUAUUGGGAAGAACAUCGGUGGCGAAGGCGGCUCUCUGGACCGACACUGACGCUGAGGCGCGAAAGCGUGGGGAGCAAACAGG